GUUUAUUCAGUGGUCUUGUUUGUAAUAGUACUGAAUUUGCAGUUGAAUUAAGAAAGAGUGGAUGGUUUUAAACAACUUCACUACAAUUUAGCUCUUCGAAGUUAAUGGGUCUCAGCCCUCUUUGUGGAUAGGAACAUUGGAUUGUCUUGACUGCCACUGGUGACAUGCCAACUUACCAGAUCCGAGCUCCUACUGCUGCUUUGCCACAGGGAGUGGUGAUGGCUGCAUCGCCCGGAAGUUUGCACAGUCCCCAGCAGCUGGCAGAAGAAGCAACACGCAAACGAGAGCUAAGGCUAAUGAAAAACAGGGAAGCUGCCCGGGAGUGUCGCAGGAAGAAGAAAGAAUAUGUCAAAUGUCUUGAAAAUCGUGUGGCUGUGCUUGAAAACCAAAACAAGACUCUCAUUGAGGAACUCAAGGCCCUCAAAGAUCUUUAUUGCCAUAAAGUAGAGUAACUGUCUUUGACUUGGACCUUGUUUACUGUAAUCAAGGCAGGAGAUGCAGCAGUCCUACUUAUUGCCAUGUGGACUUGUGGGAAGGACACGUGUGACCCUUAAGAAUCCAGUUUGGAUUAGUGUUUGAAAUUGAAUUGGGAAUGUUGUUCCAGGAUGUGGAAUGCAGCCGUGAUCACACUUACCGAGCUUACUUUGAUCUGUUUGUCAAUAGCAUGCAAAAAAUGCUUUGUUUGCCCUUUGCUUCUGCGUUUUUCAGGGAAGCUGCCAAAGAAUGUCGACGUCGAAAGAAAGAAUAUGUAAAAUGUCUGGAGAGCCGAGUUGCAGUGCUGGAAGUCCAGAACAAGAAGCUUAUAGAGGAACUUGAAACCUUGAAAGACAUUUGUUCUCCCAAAACAGAUUACUAGAAAUAUUUAACUAUGAACUGAAGACAGCAUGUAUAGUUGCUUUUGAAGGAAUACAAUAUAUA
RNAcentral lists this small RNA (918 nucleotides) under Pan troglodytes (chimpanzee). RNAcentral's name for it is "processed transcript". The record is from RNAcentral. Lineage: Eukaryota; Metazoa; Chordata; Mammalia; Primates; Hominidae.